GCCUGAUGGAGCAAUACCGCGUGGAGGAUGAAGGUUCGUGGAUCGUAAACUCCUUUUCUCAGAGAAGAAGAUCUGACGGUAUCUGAGGAAUAAGCUCCGGCUAACUCCGUGCCAACAGCCGCGGUAAUACGGGGGGAGCAAGCGUUAUCCGGAAUGAUUGGGCGUAAAGCGUCUGUAGGUGGUUUUUUAAGUCUACUGUCAAAUACGUUGGCUCAACCAACGGCAGGCAGUGGACUACUAAAGAACUAUUAGUGCNGUAGAGGUANAGGGAAUCCCUAGCGUAACAGUGAAAUGUGUANAUUUUAGGGAGAACACCAGCGGCAAAGGCGCUCUACUGGGCCGAUACUGACACUGAGAGACGAAAGCUAGAGUAGCGAAUAGGAUUAGAUACCCUACUAGUUCUAGCUGUAAACGAUGGAAACUAAGAGGAGGUAACCCUCUUCUGUAGCUAACGCGUUAAGUUUCCCGNCUGGGGAGUAUGCUCGCAAGANUGAA
RNAcentral lists this ribosomal RNA (495 nucleotides) under uncultured Dunaliella sp. Its description in RNAcentral is "bacterial SSU rRNA". It matches the Rfam family "Bacterial small subunit ribosomal RNA", at positions 381 to 898 of the family's 1533-position model. The record is from RNAcentral. Lineage: Eukaryota; Viridiplantae; Chlorophyta; Chlorophyceae; Chlamydomonadales; Dunaliellaceae.